GCUAUCAUGCAGCAGCAGCACAUGGUCGCGGCGUGCAAGCCCCCCCACGCCGUGCGGCGGGCGGCGCUCCCGCUGCCCGGGCCGUCGCUCCGACGAGCUUUCCCUUGCAAUCCAGCGAGGGCGCGAGAGGCGGUGAGGACGAGAUGCCAGGAAGAGAAGCAGAGCGGUGAUGGCGGCGAGAAGAAGAAGCAGCAGGAGCAGGAGAAGAGGACGUUCCUGAGCCUGGAGGAGGCCGGGCUGGUGGAGAUGUCCGGGCUCAGCACCCACGAGCGCUUCCUCUGCCGCCUCACCAUCUCGUCGCUGAACCUGCUGCGGGUGAUCUCGGAGCAGGAGGGGGUGGCGAUGGAGGAGCUCAACGCGGGGCGGGUGUGCGACUGGUUCCUCAAGGACAAGCUCAAGCGGGAGCAGAACCUCGACACCGCCGUCCUGCAGUGGGACGACCCCCCGCCCAUCUGA
RNAcentral lists this ribosomal RNA (456 nucleotides) under Triticum aestivum (bread wheat). Its description in RNAcentral is "partial small subunit ribosomal RNA". The record is from RNAcentral. Lineage: Eukaryota; Viridiplantae; Streptophyta; Magnoliopsida; Poales; Poaceae.